RNAcentral lists this ribosomal RNA (503 nucleotides) under uncultured bacterium. RNAcentral's name for it is "partial 16S ribosomal RNA". It matches the Rfam family "Bacterial small subunit ribosomal RNA", at positions 29 to 523 of the family's 1533-position model. The record is from RNAcentral.
AACGAACGCUGGCGGCACGUUUUAAGCAUGCAAGUCGAAUGGCAGCAGGGGCAACUCUGUGAGAAUGGCGAACGGGUGAGUAACACGUAGGUGAUCUGCCUUGAGGAUGGGGAUAGCCUGUGGAAACACAGGGUAAUACCGAAUGAGCUGACGAGACUUUGGUUUUGUUAGUAAAGGUGCUACGGCACCGCCUUGAGAGGAGCCUGCGGCUGAUUAGCUAGUUGGUGGGGUAAGAGCUUACCAAGGCGACGAUCAGUAGCCGGCCUGAGGGGGUGGACGGCCACGCUGGAACUGAGACACGGUCCAGACUCCUACGGGAGGCAGCAGCUAAGAAUCUUCCGCAAUGGGCGAAAGCCUGACGGAGCGAUGCCGCGUGAUCGAUGAAGGUCGAGAGAUUGUAAAGAUCUUUUCUACAUGAGGAAUAAGUCUGGGAGGGAAUGCCCGGAUGAUGACGUUAGUGUAGGAAUAAGCCCCGGCUAAUUACGUGCCAGCCGCCGCCGAAA